UGAAAAUCUUCAAUUUUCUGAGGCUGACACAGAUCAAUUUAUUGAUCAAGAAUUCCUCACUACAGAAGAUACUGUUUAUUCCAACUCUGAAACUCAAGAAAGCGAAGCUUCUUUGUAUAGGUGGAGCACGCCUUGUGUUUUGUUAUUAUUAGAGUCUUAUAGAGCAUUGGAAAAAGAUUUUUAUAGUGGAAAAAUAUCCCAAAAGAAAAUUUGGGAAAAAGUUGCCAAAGAAUUGAAGGUAAAAGGACAUGAUGUAACUGGACCACAAUGUUCUUCAAAGCUACGAAGAUUAAAAAAAACUUACAAAUCUAUUAAAGAUCAUAAUAAUAAAUCAGGAAAUGACAGAAGGACUUGGCAGUUUUUUGAUAAUCAAAGAAGACACCAGUUGCCACUUUAUUAGGAAAAAGACUGAAGCAAAAAGAAGAACACGAAGCACAGAAAAAUAAAAGACACAAAGAUCGAAUGGAAAUGGAU
Molecule: long non-coding RNA, 474 nt
Filed under: Neodiprion lecontei (redheaded pine sawfly)
Lineage: Eukaryota; Metazoa; Arthropoda; Insecta; Hymenoptera; Diprionidae
Description: uncharacterized LOC124292792
Source: RNAcentral